This 490-nucleotide ribosomal RNA is filed under the name uncultured bacterium. RNAcentral's name for it is "partial 16S ribosomal RNA". It matches the Rfam family "Bacterial small subunit ribosomal RNA", at positions 28 to 507 of the family's 1533-position model. The record is from RNAcentral.
GAUGAACGCUAGCGAUAGGCUUAACACAUGCAAGUCGAGGGGCAGCAUGGUCUUAGCUUGCUAAGACUGAUGGCGACCGGCGCACGGGUGCGUAACGCGUAUGCAACUUGCCUCACAGAGGGGGAUAACCCGUCGAAAGACGGACUAAUACCGCGUACACUCUAUUUUGGGCAUCCAAGGUAGAGGAAAUGAAAUUCGCUGUGAGAUAGGCAUGCGUCCCAUUAGCUAGUUGGUGAGGUAACGGCUCACCAAGGCGACGAUGGGUAGGGGAGCUGAGAGGUUGAACCCCCACACUGGUACUGAGACACGGACCAGACUCCUACGGGAGGCAGCAGUGAGGAAUAUUGGUCAAUGGGCGAGAGCCUGAACCAGCCAAGUCGCGUGAAGGAUGACUGUCUUAUGGAUUGUAAACUUCUUUUGUAGGGGAAUAAAGAGGGGCACGUGUGCCCCAGUGAAUGUACCCUACGAAUAAGCAUCGGCUAACUCCGUG